This is a long non-coding RNA of Oncorhynchus kisutch (coho salmon), 2870 nucleotides long. RefSeq lists it as uncharacterized. The transcript is spliced from 5 exons. The record is from RefSeq and is a predicted model, not a curated record. Lineage: Eukaryota; Metazoa; Chordata; Actinopteri; Salmoniformes; Salmonidae.
AACCAAAUACUUUUAGACUUUUAUUCAAGUAGAAUUUUACUGCGGGACUUUUACUUGAGUAAUUUUCUAUUAAGGUUUUUUACUUUUACUCAAGUAUGACAAUUGGGUACUUUUUCAACUACUGUGUAAUAGCUACUGUAAAUUGGACAGUGCAGUUAGUUUAACAAGAAUUUAAGCUUUCGGCCCAUAUAAGACAUGUCUAUGUCCUGGGAAAUGUUCUUGUUACUUACAAUGUCAUGCUAAUCAUAUAUCUCCCAUGGGAGAGGACAUCGAUCCCGUAGAGGUUUUAAGGGGUUAUUUUCCAAGUUUUAAAUAAUACACUUUCAACAUUGGCCAUGCUGUCAAUGAAGCAUGAGUUGUGCCGCACUCAAAAUACUAUUAACUCAGAACUACGAAAACGUGACUUCAGUGAGUUCAAGACAACUGUGAGGUCGGGAAAAAGCGAGCUCCAACUGAAAAAAUACAUUAAACUCGGUCAUUCAACAGUCAUUCAACUCGGAAUUCCAAGUUGGGAACUCGGGCCUCCUCCUAGAGCUCCAAACUGAAGAUCAAUGACCUUAUUAUUCAACCAUGUUUUUUUUCCGAGUUCCCAGUUGUCUUGAAAGCACCAUCAAUCCAGAGAAUGCCAGACUUUGAUGACAAAAUUUCCCCACCUUCCUGUUCAUGUGAGCACAGCACAAUAAGGUGAGUCCAAAAAUGUAUUGGAAGCUGCUGCAUAAAUGAUGUAAUAUGCCAGGGAGAUAUGUAUACUGUAGCUAAGAUGGUAAUACUAAGUGUAUGUUGUGAAGUAAGCUGUCAGUAGCCCAUGCGGCUCACCCUAAUCAUUGUGUCCCUUUUCCUCUCCUAACUUAGCCUACUGCUCUGACUUACUGGUGCAUAUGUAGCCUAUAGCCUGUUUUUAGAGAAAUGUCAUCAUUGAAUAUUGUAAGAGCUUUUAUUGUCUGCUUUUAAGCCCCCUUUAUUUAUCCUACAGUUCUGACUUGGUGUACAGUGUUGAACAAGAUAAAGUAAAACUUGACUUUACUCCUCUGUUUGGUCUGAAAUACCAGGAGGUGUGAGUACAUUUGUUUCAGAGUCUUGCCAUCUCUCCACCCUCUGCUUCAACCAACAGUCUCUCUAGAACAGUGGCCGUAAUCCAACUGAAGACUGUACUCCUCUUUCUGUGGGUCGUUGAAACAUCGUACCUCUGUCACCUGGUCCAAAUACUCAGAAGGGAUCUGAUUGGCUGCUGCAGGUCGGGAAAUUGUCCAGAGUGGAGCAGUUUCUCCUUGAUGAGCUCCCGAACAGGAAGUGGAAAUAUGAAGUGGAUAUCCUGAUUAGCUCUUCCUUCGGCCCAGUCCAGAAUGAACUUCUGCGCAGAGACUGUUGUACCAAUGCCAGCGACUCCCUUUGUCAGCACAGUUCUGAUAGGCUUGUCUUGUCCAGCUCUGUAAAGAUCUUAUUGAGAAGACUUGGGUUUCCUAUGACAGCUAUUCCUUCAAACACACACCGAAACUACUUCUUCAGGAAGUGAAGUGUGAUCCUCUCUGGCCCUGCUCUCCUGCUUCUCAUCUUCAGCAUCCUCUCUCUGACUCUCUAAGCAUUCUGGGAGAUCUGGACUCAGAAUCCUCUUGAAACUCUUCAGUUCUUUCUUCACUAAAGUGAUGACAGUCUCUUCAAGUGACUGAGAAAGAGUUUUUUAUUUUUUUACAUUUAGGUGUAAUUCAUUCUGCACAAGCAACUGAAACCAACCAAUACAAAAAAAAGUUAAUUAAAAUGAUAUUUGGCCUUCUUUUCAGCAGUUUUUACAUUUAGGUAAACCCAUUGGGAUUUCAGACAAAAAAAUUAAGUUCAAUUCUAUUUUUAUGUAUGACAGCUCACCAUGAAUGUUUUAUUGUAACUUUAUUUAACUAGGCAAGUCAGAACAAAUUCUUAUGUUCAAUGAUGACCUAGGAACAGUGGGUUAACUGCCUUGUUCAGGGGCUGAAUGACAGAUUUUUACCUUGUCAGCUCCAGGAUUCGAUCUUGCAACCUUUCAGUUACUAGUCCAAUGCUCUAACCACUAGGCUGCCUGCCGCCCCAUGAGGAAUAUCGAGUCCAGGUCUGUUGUAUGACUUUGGGAAGACUGACCACUGGAAAUAUCUGCUUCUGAUCUCUCCUGUUGGUCUCUGUAAGAAAAAGAAGUUGACUACAACUGAUCAACCAGCUUCACCCCAAAACAAUGACGCAAUACUUCUUAUCCCUGUUUAGUAGAGAAGUCUCCCUCUCUGAGGUUAACUGCUUUUCCCAUAGACUGUUCACUCUUCAUCAACAGACAGCUGGGUACAGGGAAGUCGGGGCUCUUGUGUCUGUGCAUCAAAGCUGGGACCGAGUGACUGAAAAACAGCUUGUAUCUCAAGGCCAUCAGACUGUUAAACAGCCAUCACUAACAUUGAGUGGCUGCUGCCAACAUACUGACUCAAAUCUCUAGCCACUUUAAUAAUACAACAAUUGAUGUAAUAAAUGUAUCACUAGUCACUUUAAACAAUGCCACUUUAUAUAAUGUUUACAUACCCUACAUUACUCAUCUCACAUGUAUAUACUCUAUACCAUCUACUGCAUCCUGCCUAUGCCGUUCAUCCCAUAUAUUUACAUCUACAUAUUCUUAUUAAUUCCUUUGUUAUUGUGAAAUUGUUAGAUAUUACUGCAUGGUCGGAACUAGAAGCACAAGCAUUUCACUACACUCGCAUUAACAUCUGCUAACCAUAUGUAUCCAAUAAAAUUUGAUUUGAUUUGUUCUUGUUGUUCUGUAUAUGUCAUUAUGUUUUGUGUGGACCCCAGGUAGAGUAUCUGCUGCUUGUGCAACAGCUACUGGGGAUAAUAAAAUACCAAGUCGCUCUUUCAGUUUCAAA